GACGAACGCUGGCGGCGUGCUUAACACAUGCAAGUCGAACGGAAAGGCCCUGCUUUUGUGGGGUGCUCGAGUGGCGAACGGGUGAGUAACACGUGAGUAACCUGCCCUUGACUUUGGGAUAACUUCAGGAAACUGGGGCUAAUACCGGAUAGGAGCUCCUGCUGCAUGGGGGGGGUUGGAAAGUUUCGGCGGUUGGGGAUGGACUCGCGGCUUAUCAGCUUGUUGGUGGGGUAGUGGCUUACCAAGGCUUUGACGGGUAGCCGGCCUGAGAGGGUGACCGGCCACAUUGGGACUGAGAUACGGCCCAGACUCCUACGGGAGGCAGCAGUGGGGAAUAUUGCACAAUGGGCGGAAGCCUGAUGCAGCAACGCCGCGUGCGGGAUGACGGCCUUCGGGUUGUAAACCGAUUUCGCCUGUGACGAAGCGUGAGUGACGGUAAUGGGUAAAGAAGCACCGGCUAACUACGUG
RNAcentral lists this ribosomal RNA (468 nucleotides) under uncultured bacterium. Its description in RNAcentral is "partial 16S ribosomal RNA". It matches the Rfam family "Bacterial small subunit ribosomal RNA", at positions 28 to 507 of the family's 1533-position model. The record is from RNAcentral.